Molecule: ribosomal RNA, 271 nt
Filed under: uncultured bacterium
Lineage: Bacteria
Description: partial 16S ribosomal RNA
Rfam family: Bacterial small subunit ribosomal RNA
Source: RNAcentral
GACGAACCGUGCAAACGUUGUUCGGAAUCACUGGGCUUAAAGGGCGCGUAGGCGGAUUGCCAAGUCAGGGGUGAAAUCUUUCGGCUUAACCGGAAAAUAGCUUUUGAUACUGGCAAUCUGGAGGGAGGUAGGGGCACGUGGAACUUCCGGUGGAGCGGUGAAAUGUGUUGAUAUCGGAAGGAACGCCGGUGGCGAAAGCGACGUGCUGGACCUCAUCUGACGCUGAGGCGCGAAAGCCAGGGGAGCGAACGGGAUUAGAUACCCUUGUAGU